This 404-nucleotide ribosomal RNA is filed under the name uncultured bacterium. RNAcentral's name for it is "bacterial SSU rRNA". It matches the Rfam family "Bacterial small subunit ribosomal RNA", at positions 28 to 420 of the family's 1533-position model. The record is from RNAcentral.
GAUGAACGCUGGCGGCGUGCUUAAGACAUGCAAGUCGAACGGGGCGCGGGGAGCAAUCCCAGUGCCCAGUGGCGAAUGGGUGCGUAACACGUAGGUGACCUACCCGGAAGCGGGGAAUAACUCUCCGAAAGGAGGGCUAAUACCGCAUGCGGUCUUGGGACUUAGACGCCCCCAGACCAAAGCCGGCUCGCAAGAGCGGGCACUUCCGGAGGGGCCUGCGGCCCAUCAGCUAGNGGUCGGGUAACGGCCGACCAAGGCGAUGACGGGUAGGGGACCUGAGAGGGUGGCCCCCCACAUUGGCACUGACACACGGGCCAAACUCCUACGGGAGGCAGCAGUCGGGAAUAUUGCCCAAUGGACGAAAGUCUGAGGCAGCAACGCCGCGUGCGCGAAGAAGGCCGUUC